Long non-coding RNA from Ricinus communis (castor bean), 5808 nucleotides. RefSeq lists it as uncharacterized. The transcript is spliced from 9 exons. The record is from RefSeq and is a predicted model, not a curated record. NCBI's taxonomy places the organism in Eukaryota, Viridiplantae, Streptophyta, Magnoliopsida, Malpighiales, Euphorbiaceae.
UCUAAAUUAGAUAUCUCUCUCUUUAAGUCGGUGUUGUCUUUUCUAUUUAUAGGUCUCUCGCACCUUAUUUCUCAGAUCUGUUGUUCUGGUCUCAUCUUCUAUUAUCGAUCUUUGCCAAAUCGAAUUGAUCGUUUCACGAUCUAUCUAUCGAUUAUGGCUUUACUUCUGAUGGUUUCUUUGGGUUCGGGAGAGGUUUUCAUACCAGCCGUUAGAUUUGUUUCAGAUCUGCAAAUUUUCAAGCCGUCUGAACUUAACGUAGCCAGAUCUAUUGAGCUCGAGGUUGAAAUUCCUUUUCCUGAGAUUUCCAAUUCCGGACUCGGUUUUUUUUAAUCCAGCCUGCUGAGAUGUGGAACCGAUGGUGAUAAGCUUUGUGUUGUAGAUCGAGAUCGUUGACCAUGUCUUGGGGAUGAUCGAUGCCUUCUAGUCUAAUGAUCGGAUGCUUUGGCACCGGCUUUUGCGAGGAUUAUUAGGCGAGAAAAGAAUUGGUUUGUGAUUAUAUAUUUCAUGCGAGUUUAUGUGGUUGUGACUGCUGUUUGUGGUUCUUACAUGACCUAUGAUAAGAGGUAAAUUAUUUUAGAAGUAGGAUGAUGAUGAUUUAUGGAAGUGAAGAUUGAUGAUGAGGAAGGAGAUGAUGAUGUGCGGAGGUUAGGUUUAUGUUUAAUUGCUGGUGAUGGUUUGUCUGUCUCUCGACCUUUGCCAUGACAGGUGCGCUUGCUUGGCAGGUCACAAAGAACUAAUAAAAUUUUAUUUUUGGGUUUCAAGGGGGGGAGAUGGUACGGGGUUAUUUAUUCCUUUUGGUUUUUGCCCGGCUCUCCCCCCCAGCGUGCGUGUGCGUGUGUGGCUGGUCUUUUUUCUCUCUGUCUCUCUCUCUCUCUGUCUCUCUCUCUGUCUCUCUGUUUGUGCUAUCUUUGUCCGUCUCUUAUACCACCAUAUCUACCUAUCAAUUCUGGACGGCCGUUCAAUCAAACAUCAUAUGCAACCAAGGCAAACGAGGCAACAACUAUGCAGGAAUCAAUUUUGAUCUUCAUCAAUUCAACCACGAAAGGUAUAUACUUGACGACAUCUUUUAAUUGAUAUUCACGCUCGGGACCCCAAACCAUCAUUAUCUAGACAUACUAUAUUUUGCAAGCAGUUAAAACACAAAUUUAGUAUUGAAUUAUUCAAGUCCUUAUUCUCCAUAUUGCAUAAACACUUGCACACUGUACAAGCUAGUUCGUUUUUGUCCUCUCCAAUCAACAUUUCACAAUGAGCAAGAAUGAAAUUGUCAAAAUGAGUUUAAAUGAUUUUUUAUUGGUCAAAGUUAUUUAUGUAAUGGUAAUUGGAACCGGCUCAUGAAAUCACACAUGCACUGAAUUAGAAAAUAUAGCAGGCAGAAGUAUUAAAUCUCUCUUAUAUGCGGCACUGAAUAAGUAACAGCGUUAUAAGAGCUAGUUGGAAUUUUAACAUUUUGUGAUAGGUAUAUAAUUUAGCCUACUUAUUUCAGCCAGUUAGUUUAUGUUGCAUUCCACGAUAAAUAUGUUGAUAUUUAGAUGAAAGUACCCAAAUAACCAUCCUUUCAAAAUUGCAGACCUUUAAAAAUUAUUGCGUCGCGGUAAUGUGGGCUCAUAUGUUUGCCCAACUGAGAUGUUGCAUCGGCAGAUAAAAUUAAGUAACUCAACUGUUUUAUGUAAUUGACUGGGAUACCAUAUUAACUUGUCCCUUAUGCUGCCAUGGUGCCACUUGCAAUUCUCCAUCUCGCAGUUACAUAUGGAAUUGAAUUUUUUUGUCAAUUUAUUAUAUUACUGCACCUGAUUGCGAAAUCUUCAUGGAUAAAAGAGAUUCCCAGAUAGCUGUUGUGGGUAGUAGUUCUCUCUAUUGUUUUAAAGCAUGUUCGUAGUGGAGGGUUUUUUUGUAUGUUCCAAGAGGUCUAUUCUGGUAAAUGUUGUAUAUCAGUGGCUGCUACACCUGGUGUAGAGUACCUUCUUGUAUAUAGGGGAUGGUCAUGGUUCUCCAGCGUUCCCCUCUUCCCAUUGAAGAGAUGUGUUACAAGUCGUUGGUGGAGGUUGAUUGUCUCGGUGAUUUGUGGACUUCUGGUGCUUGGGUGCUCGCCGCUGUUUGGAUCAAGUUUUGCACAUUGACAUGCAAGAGACCGUUAUGGGACUCUUUCGAGUACUGUUAGAGGAAGAUUUCGGUGGUGUUGUUGGUUUUGUGGUGGACUUCUCUCCGUUCAAGAGGUUCUUAUCUCUUCGGUGCUAAAUGCUGUUUCGCAAGUAUAUGCUUUGCAUCGAUGACAUCAGCUUCAAAACGUUAUUUGCUACAUCCUAGAAUUAGCAAGAAAUAUUUGUAAAAAUGCUGCAAGGUCGUCAACCUGAAAGUAUUAUCAACAAUCUGAAUGCACUAUUGCAGUGUCGGCCUGUUGCUCUUUUAAGGAUGUGUUUGCCUGAUGCAAAGCGUAAUGUCUGUAGGAAUAAGUUUCUGUCGGCUAUUUAAUCAGCUCAACUAUUGGCGUGAACUUUUAGCAUCCUUUGCUUGGAAGUGUCUUCUCCAUAUCUAGUGAAUCAAGAAAGCUCUUCUUAUUGCGGCUGUUUUCAAUUUUGAGGUAUGGAUUCUUUGGAAGUUCUUCCUAGCUUCUUAAGAGGCACAAGCUCAUCUUUAUAUUGCAAGUGUUAUAGAUUCUGCGCAUCUUUUUUUCAUCUCUCUUCGUUGAACGGCUGGACGGUACGUGUCCCCUCUUGAUAGAGUCGGUUUUGCUUUUGGCCUUUCAUUAGUUUGUCCAUUGUGCAGGGAUGCCGUUUCAUGGGGAUCUGAUCUGUUCUGAAAGACGACACAUUCGUAAAAACUACCGCUAUUUUAAGUCCCUGCUCCCCUCUUCAUUCCGGGGACUUUAAUUAUUUAUUUUCUUAAAAUUAUUUCAAUCUUAUUUUUACGGGCUUGAAUUUUUUCUGGAAAUAUUUAAUGUCCUCUCGAUGUAGAGCUGAAGGGGGAGGAUUUUAAAUUCAUACCAUCGAUUUUGAAAAUUUAAGAUGGAUGACAUUUUGUGACGGCUACUGUGUGCGGGUGGGUUUUAAAUUCAUACCACCGAUAUUGAAAAUUAAAAAUAGCGUUUCUGACGAUUUUUCUUGAAAUAAUACAAUAAUAGAGGGGUUUCCUUUGCAGUAGGUGUUUCAAAUUCUUUUGUGGGUUCUCAUCUGACAAAUUUUUCGAGGAAAAAGAGGGCCUAAGAGGAAGUUAUUGAAGAUCUUUUUAGUUGGUGGGGCAAGUGGUUGUGUGGUAUUUUUUCAGGAUCUUAUCAGCUUGUGAAUGAACAAUAAGAUAAGAGAGAUUACCAUCUUGAGCUGGAGUCGUUAUCCUUUAAAUUCUGUUAUCAGCUAAUACUAACAGAGCUGUCAAUCUUGGAAUUCUGCUAAUAUUCUCCUACAAACUGAGCUGAGGUUGGAGGCAAAGUUUGGUGUAGAAGGAAUGAAAGACAACCGUAGACAAUGGUUUUGUAAAGAUGUCAGCAACUUGUUUGUUAGUAAAGACAUGUUUAGUGACGAGAAGUUCAAGUGCAACACGUUCACGCAUAUAAUGAUAGUCCAACUCAAUAUGUUUACUUCGGGCAUGGAACACAUGAUUAAUGGUCAUGUAGAGAGCACUAAGAUUGUUACGGUAGAGUAUGGGAGUAGAAGAGAGUGGAACACGAAGAUCCUUAAGAAUGUAAGUCAGCCAAGUUAUUUCUGCUGCAGUGUUUGCCAUGGCACGAUAUUCUGCUUCAGUACUAGAACAGGAGAUUGUAUGUUGCUUUUUUGCACACCAUGAAAUCAAAUUGGUUCCAAGGAAGGUACAGUAGCCAGUAGUGGAUCGCCUUGUGGUAGGACAGCCAGUCAGCAUUUGGAAAAGCACAAAGAUUAAGAGUAGUAUUGGGCAGAAAGAUGUAACCUAAUGCUAAUCGUGCCUUUAACAUAUCGAAGUAUACGUUGAACUAAUUUCAAAUGAGCAAGAGCAAGAGCAUGCAUGAAUUGUGAAACAUAAUUAACACUAUAAGAAAGGUCUGGUCUAGUGAGUGUAAGGUAUUGAAGGGCACCAACAAUGCCUCAAAGUGAUUGGGGUCAUCAAGGAGAGGAUCAGUAGAUGGGAGUGGAGGGUGUAUUUCUAGCGGUGUACUCAUAGGCUUACACUCAACCAUAUUGGAGUGUGGGCAAUUUCAACACCAAGAAAAUGAUGAAUCGGUCCUAAAUCCUUCAUAGAAAAUUCAGUACUAAAAAGAUGAAUAAAGGAGGUGACAAGCUCAGAAGUUGAUCCUGUGAGAAGUAUGUCAUCUACAUAAAGAAGCAGAAUAAGUGAGCUAUGAUCAGAAUGAAAAAUAAAUAAAGAUGGAUCAGCUAAGCUACAAAAGAACCAAUAUUUAAGAAGAAAGGCACUAAAUCUGUAAAACUAAGUAUGAGGUGCUUGUUUGAGGCCAUACAGAGAACGUUGGAGUUUACAGACAUAGUUAGGGUGUUGGGAGUCUGCUAUACCUAGUGGUUGUUGCAUGUAUAUUUCUUUCGAAAUAUUACCAUGCAAAAAAGUAUUUUUGACAUCGAGUUGUUGUAUUGGCCAAUGUUCCACCAGUGCAAUAGAUAAGAUCAUACGUAUAGUACCUGGUUUAAUGACUGGGGAGAAUGUCUCAGUGUAAUCUAUACCAUCAAUCUGAUGACACCCUUUGGCCAUGAGUCGGGCUUUUAAACGAUCGACAGUCCCAUCGGGUUUAAGCUUAGUCUUGAAGACCCAUUUGGAACCUAUAACAUGCAUGUCUGAGGUAUGAGGAACUAAUCUCCAUGUCUGAUUUGUGUGUAAAGCUGCUAGUUCUUCUUGCAUGGCGGCUUUCCAACCAGGAUGGGAUAAAGCUAAUUUAAUGGUUUUAGGUUCACGUGGGAUAGUGGUGGAAGAAAUGGCUGUCAACAUAUACGUAGGAUUCGGUUUAACAAUACCCAGUUUGGAGCGAGUAGUCAUGGGAUGGAAGGUCAAGUCUUGUUGAGGUUAGGCGGAAGAGGAAGUUUGGGUCGACUCAUGUGGUGGUGCUGGUUGAGUAGAUAGUGUCAACUCUGAGUGCAAUAGAAAAGAUGACUCAAGAGAGAUGGAUGGAUCAUGAGAAUCUAUUGUUGUGCUAGCAGGGGAAGAUGGUGUUGUAGUGGGCGUUGAACAGACAUCAGACAUGGGGGAAAGAUUAUGUGCAGCAAUCAAUGGUAAGGGACUUAAACACGGUGGUGAUGAAGGACCUGAAAUUAAAGUAGUGUCAAUAUGUAAUAACCAUGAGUCAAAGAUAUUAAAGACACAUGAGAUAGUCAGAGAAUUGGAUAUAGGCUUAAAAGGAAAGGAAUUUUCAUCAAAAACCACAUGGCGAGAAAUAAAUUUUUUUUUACUAGUAGGAUGAAAGCAUUUGUAUCCUUUAUAUUUUUCACUAUAUCCUACAAAAACACAUAAAACUGACUUAGGAGUAAAUUUGUGACUCCAUGUGUCCCAAGUAUAAGGAAAGCAUUUAGACCCAAAAAUACGAAGCGAUGAAUAGCAGGAUGAUUACCAUGCAGCAUAAAGUAUGGGGUGUCAAAUCUAAGUGAGGAUAAAGGCAAACGGUUAAUGAGAUACACUGUUGUAGUGAAGGCUUCUACCCAUAACAAGAGCAUGAAACAACAUGGUCAUACCUAAUUCACGAAUAAUUCUAUGACGUCUUUCAACUAUACCUAUUUGCUCUGGAGUAUAUGGACAAGAGAUCUGAUGAAUAAUACCUGUUGAGAGAAAGUGAGAUGAUAAUUUCGAAUUGACAAACUCACCUCCACCAUUUGAAUGAAAAUUUUUGAUUUUUUUAUUGAA